Non-coding RNA from Pelobates cultripes (western spadefoot toad), 131 nucleotides. The record is from the annotation of a GenBank genome assembly. NCBI's taxonomy places the organism in Eukaryota, Metazoa, Chordata, Amphibia, Anura, Pelobatidae.
AUAACAAUACAGGACUCUUUAGAGGCCCUGUAAUUGUAAUGAGUCCACUUGAAAUCCUUUAACUCUGAUCAAUUGGAGGGCAAGUCUGGUUCAGAGCCACUGACCCGUGCGUGCUGCAGCUGAAACUCCAC